UGCAGUCGAACGAGAAAGUGGAGCAAUCCAUGAGUACAGUGGCGUACGGGUGAGUAACACGUGGGUAAUCUGCCCUUUGGUGAGGAAUAACCCUGGGAAACCGGGGCUAAUACCGCAUAAGCUCGAGAGAGGAAAGCAGCAAUGCGCCGAAGGAGGAGCCCGCGGCCGAUUAGCUAGUUGGUGAGGUAAGAGCUCACCAAGGCAAAGAUCGGUAGCCGGCCUGAGAGGGCACACGGCCACACUGGCACUGAAACACGGGCCAGACUCCUACGGGAGGCAGCAGUGGGGAAUCUUGCACAAUGGGGGAAACCCUGAUGCAGCGACGCCGCGUGAGCGAUGAAGCCCUUCGGGGUGUAAAGCUCUUUCGGCAGGGAAGAAAGAUGACGGUACCUGCAGAAGCAGCUGCGGCUAACUACGUGCCAGCAGCCGCGGUAAUACGUAGGCAGCGAGCGUUGUUCGGAGUUACUGGGCGUAAAGGGUGUGUAGGCGGUUGCUUAAGUUUGGUGUGAAAUCUCCCGGCUCAACUGGGAGGGUGCGCCGAAUACUGAGUGACUCGAGUGCGGGAGAGGAAAGUGGAAUUCCUGGUGUAGCGGUGAAAUGCGUAGAUAUCAGGAGGAACACCGGUGGUGUAGACGGCUUUCUGGACCGUAACUGACGCUGAGACACGAAAGCGUG
RNAcentral lists this ribosomal RNA (675 nucleotides) under uncultured bacterium. Its description in RNAcentral is "bacterial SSU rRNA". It matches the Rfam family "Bacterial small subunit ribosomal RNA", at positions 56 to 763 of the family's 1533-position model. The record is from RNAcentral.